RNAcentral lists this ribosomal RNA (516 nucleotides) under Sepsis indica. Its description in RNAcentral is "partial 16S ribosomal RNA". It matches the Rfam family "Bacterial large subunit ribosomal RNA", at positions 1825 to 2597 of the family's 2925-position model. Lineage: Eukaryota; Metazoa; Arthropoda; Insecta; Diptera; Sepsidae. The record is from RNAcentral.
AACAUGUCUUUUUGUAUUUUAUUUAAAGUCUAGCCUGCCCACUGAAUAAUUUUAAAUGGCCGCAGUAUCCUAACUGUGCAAAGGUAGCAUAAUCAUUAGUCUUUUAAUUGAAGGCUGGUAUGAAUGGUUGGACGAGGUAUUAACUGUUUCAAAUAAAUUUAUAAUUGAAUUUUAUUUUUUAGUCAAAAAGCUAAAAUUUUAUUAAAAGACGAGAAGACCCUAUAAAUCUUUACUUUUAAGUUUAUUUUAAUUAUUAAGAUGAAUUUUAUUAUAAUAAAAUUAAAAGUUUUAUUGGGGUGAUAUUAAAAUUUAAUGAACUUUUAAUUUGUAAUGACAUUAAUUAAUGAAUAAUUGAUCCGUUAUUGACGAUUAAAAAUUUAAGUUACUUUAGGGAUAACAGCGUAAUUUUUUUGGAGAGUUCUUAUCGAUAAAAAAGAUUGCGACCUCGAUGUUGGAUUAAGAAAAAUUUUAGGUGUAGUCGCUUAAAUAUUAAGUCUGUUCGACUUUUAAUUUCUU